Molecule: ribosomal RNA, 253 nt
Filed under: uncultured bacterium
Lineage: Bacteria
Description: partial 16S ribosomal RNA
Rfam family: Bacterial small subunit ribosomal RNA
Source: RNAcentral
UACGGAGGGGACUAGCGUUGUUCGGAAUUACUGGGCGUAAAGCGCACGUAGGCGGAUUUGUAAGUCAGGGGUGAAAUCCCGGGGCUCAACCUCGGAACUGCCUUUGAUACUGCAAAUCUCGAGUCCGGAAGAGGUGAGUGGAAUUCCUAGUGUAGAGGUGAAAUUCGUAGAUAUUAGGAAGAACACCGGUGGCGAAGGCGGCUCACUGGCUCAUUUCUGACGCUCAGGCGCGACAGCGUGGGGAUCAAACAGG